ACUUAGAUAGCUUAAUUAAUAGAGCAGGAUAUUGAAGAUAUCUCGGUGACUUUUGAGUCUUUAAGUA
RNAcentral lists this transfer RNA (67 nucleotides) under Dorcus parallelipipedus (lesser stag beetle). Its description in RNAcentral is "tRNA-Phe". The record is from RNAcentral. Lineage: Eukaryota; Metazoa; Arthropoda; Insecta; Coleoptera; Lucanidae.